Eucalyptus grandis is the source of this 1287-nucleotide RNA transcript. It is a transcript of the gene named monooxygenase 1, with no coding region annotated. The record is from RefSeq and is a predicted model, not a curated record. NCBI's taxonomy places the organism in Eukaryota, Viridiplantae, Streptophyta, Magnoliopsida, Myrtales, Myrtaceae. The transcript has 6 exons.
GAGAGAGAGAUCAGUGAGGUUUGUGUUAAGCUGAGAAGUCGUCGGAGGCAUCAUGGCAACAGCAGAGGCAGAACAUAAAGACAUAGUUAUCGUCGGCGGUGGCAUCUGUGGCCUGGCCACUGCACUGGCUCUUCACAGGAAGGGGAUUAGCAGCCUGGUUCUUGAACGGUCAGAUGCUCUUCGGGCUACCGGGACGGCUAUCGGCAUUCAGACUAAUGGUUGGCGCGCGCUCGAUCAGCUCAGGGUCGGGUCGAAACUUAGGCCGACUUCAUUUCCUCUCAAAGGAUUUCGUGAUGUAUCGAUCAACAAUACUACUCUGAAGGAGGUUCCUGUCGGGCUCGGAGAAGCACGAUGCUUGAGACGCAGUGUUCUCCUGGAAGCUUUAGCCAGUGAUCUACCGAGUGGGACGAUACGCUUCGGAAGCCGUCUCCUGGCCAUUGGAAUGGAUCCUGAAACUUCAUAUCCUAUCCUUCGGUUACAUGACGGCAGUGUCAUCAAAGCUAAGGUUGUGAUAGGAUGCGACGGAGUGAACUCCGAGGUCGCAAACUUCUUAGACUUGAGGCCACCUAGAAUGUCGCCCGCAUGCAAUGUUAGGGGGUUCACGAUUUAUCCGGACAGGCACGGUUACCCUCACGACUUCGUCACGAUAAACCAUAAUCGUGUUUUUCUCGGAAGAAUCCCGCUCGACGAGAAGUCAGUUUACUGGUUCAUAGCUCGACCAUGGACGCAUCAAGAUUCAACCAUCUCAAAGAACUCCGACCUGAUCAAGCAAUCGACCGUGGAAUCGAUGGCUGGCUUCCCAGCAGAAAUCCUGGAGAUGAUCGAGAACAGCGAGCCUGAUUCGUUGUCCUUGACAGGCACAAGGUAUCGUGCACCGUGGGACGUGCUAUUCGGAAGCUUUAGGAAAGGGACUGUGACGGUCGCCGGGGAUGCCAUGCACGUGAUGGGCCCAUUCCUAGGACAAGGCGGAUCUGCUGCAUUAGAGGACGCGAUCGUCCUAGCCCGAUGCUUAGCGCCGCAUAUGACUUCCCCAGACCAGGGGGAAUUGAGCAGGGAAAUAAUAGGAGGCGCACUGGACAGUUAUAUAGCCGAACGGCGGAUGAGGUUGGUCCGGCUGUCUGCAAAGACUUACACUAUCGGGUCGCUGCUCGAGUCGACCUCACUGGUUGUGAAAUUGAUCUGCAUUUUGAUGAUAAUUUUGUUCUUCCGAGACCGGUUCGGCCACACCCGAUACGAUUGUGGUCGACUAUGAACCCUCGAACGUUCUUGUUGUUUCUUGUUCUUUAA